RNAcentral lists this non-coding RNA (108 nucleotides) under uncultured Agathobaculum sp. RNAcentral describes it as "Glycine riboswitch". It matches the Rfam family "Glycine riboswitch aptamer". Rfam says of the family: This family represents the bacterial glycine riboswitch. Lineage: Bacteria; Bacillati; Bacillota; Clostridia; Eubacteriales; Butyricicoccaceae. The record is from RNAcentral.
UGGCUCUGGAGAAGGCCUCCCCGCAAAAAGGGAGGGGCUGCCGAAGGUGCAACGCGCGCGGGCAGACGGACGCGCGCCAAUCUCUCAGGCAAAAGGACAGAGUUGGAA